Molecule: long non-coding RNA, 788 nt
Organism: Mus musculus (house mouse)
Lineage: Eukaryota; Metazoa; Chordata; Mammalia; Rodentia; Muridae
Product: predicted gene, 53889
Exons: 5
Source: RefSeq, a predicted model, not a curated record
GCCUGAACUACAGGGGACAUACGAAUGUUUAAAGGGACUUUCUCACAUAGCAGGAGGUAUGGAGGUGCAUAUAUACUACUAAAAGAUGUACACUCUGCUAGAAAGCAUCAGUAACAUGAUUGAAAUAUUCCAACAAUACUCGAACAAUGAUAAGGAAGAAGGUACACUGAGCAAAAGAGAGCAGCUGAAGGAACUCCGGAACUAGAAUUGCAGGCAGGCUUGAUGGUGAGAAACAGGAAGGAGCACAUAGGUUGAUUCCAUAUCUGGCCUACAAUGAAAAAUUGCUGCGAUGAACAUAGAGCAGAAAACUGGCCUAUGGAUUGAUAUCAUUGUGCUUUGGACAGGCAAUCCUUUUUUCAGUUCUAAGGAUCAACUCCUCGCAGCUUUUGCAUACCAAUCACAGGCUGAAGUGUAAAACCUGAGCCGUCUCGUGAGAUUGCAGCAAAGACACACCAAGAUAACAGAUGUGAAAGCGUUUUGAAAAUGUUAUGAGUGCUCUACAAAUUUCAGCAUCAUUAUUACAAAGGCAAUAAAAGGAUUUACCGUGCGGAUUUAUGAAGCAUGAACUCGGCCCUAUUAUGAAGCCUUUUACUUUCCUCACUUGUAUGAGAAACUAAGAAAAACUACCUUGCUGAAAUCAUUUCAUUGGGCUUUCAAAUGCAUAGGAAAGAGAGGAAGACUUGCUGAGAUUUUAAAGACUUAUUGAGGUUGGUGAAUCCAAACUCUACUCCACAGAAGACAUCUGCAGGCUGGAAAGCAAGAAAGCACAAAGCCAUCUGUUGGCAGAA